Non-coding RNA from Paramuricea clavata, 73 nucleotides. Lineage: Eukaryota; Metazoa; Cnidaria; Anthozoa; Malacalcyonacea; Plexauridae. The record is from the annotation of a GenBank genome assembly.
GACCGCGUAGCUCAGUUGGCAGAGCAUUGGGCUAGUAUUCCAAAGGUCGUAGGUUCGAAUCCCACCAUGGUCA